This 188-nucleotide unclassified non-coding RNA is filed under the name uncultured Ochroconis. RNAcentral describes it as "sequence contains ITS2". Lineage: Eukaryota; Fungi; Ascomycota. The record is from RNAcentral.
CACCCUCCAAGCUCUGCCUGAUGUUGGAUGCUGCGGACGCCCCUCUGGGGGCACCGCACGUCUGGAACGCGUGGGCGUCCGGCCUGUCGAGACCCGCGAGCGUAGCAAGACUCUAAGUCAUUUCGCUCUGUCGGGGCUCCAGCGGACCGCCUCCCAACCUUCUCUCUUUAGAGGGGUUACCCACAAGA